GACGAACGCUGGCGGCGUGCUUAACACAUGCAAGUCGAACGGAAAGGCCAUGCUCUUGUGGGGUGCUCGAGUGGCGAACGGGUGAGUAACACGUGAGUAAAAUGCCCUUGACUUUGGGAUAACUUCAGGAAAAUGGGGAUAAUAUAGGAUAGGAGCUCCUGCAGCACGGUGGGGGUUGGUAAGUUUCGGCGGUUGGGGAUGGUCUAGCGGGUUAUCAGCUUGUUGGUGAGGUAGUGGCUUACCAAGGCUUCGACGGGUAGCCGGCCUGAGAGGGUGACCGGCCACAUUGGGACUGCGGGACGGCCCAGACUCCUACGGGAGGCAACAGGGGGGAAUAUGACACAAUGGGCGGGAGCCUGAGGCAGCAACGCCGCGUUCGGGAAGACGUCCUACGGGGUGUAAACCGCUUUCGCCUGUGACGAAGCGUGAUUGACGGUAAUGAGUAAAGAAGCACCGGCUAACUACGUG
Molecule: ribosomal RNA, 468 nt
Filed under: uncultured bacterium
Lineage: Bacteria
Description: partial 16S ribosomal RNA
Rfam family: Bacterial small subunit ribosomal RNA
Source: RNAcentral